RNAcentral lists this transfer RNA (73 nucleotides) under Cordylochernes scorpioides. RNAcentral's name for it is "tRNA-Thr". The record is from RNAcentral. Lineage: Eukaryota; Metazoa; Arthropoda; Arachnida; Pseudoscorpiones; Chernetidae.
AUCCAGGGAUGGGAAUCGAACCCACAGUGUUCCGCUUACCGGGCAGAUGCCAUCUCCACUAGCCUACCCAGGA